Molecule: unclassified non-coding RNA, 292 nt
Filed under: Hevea brasiliensis (rubber tree)
Lineage: Eukaryota; Viridiplantae; Streptophyta; Magnoliopsida; Malpighiales; Euphorbiaceae
Source: RNAcentral
UUGGAAUGAGAGUAGUUUAAGGUUUGGAAAUUGAAAUCCAUAUUCAAUUGUAUUAGAUAAUUAGGGAUAAAAAGGGAAAAAAUAGCUUCUACAAGCGGUACUAUUACAAUUUUUGAACACUCAUUGAGAGAAGAAAGAACCAUAUUUCUGAAGUUUAGAUCUUGUAACUGCACUUAAUAAUUUUACCUUCAUACUUUUCCAAAAUAUGCCUGUAAUUAGGAGAUAAAAAUGAGUCUUUAAAUAUCUGCAUGGAAAAACCAUGUGUGUACCGUCUGUGUUUUUUGUAUUUCUG